Molecule: non-coding RNA, 32 nt
Filed under: Mus musculus (house mouse)
Lineage: Eukaryota; Metazoa; Chordata; Mammalia; Rodentia; Muridae
Source: RNAcentral
UGAGUGUAUUGAGAUUCAAUCUGGUUAGUCUC